UGCUAUAGCUCAGUAGGUAGAGCGCAGCAUUGGUAGUGCUGAGGUCACCGGUUCAAAUCCGGUUAGC
RNAcentral lists this transfer RNA (67 nucleotides) under human gut metagenome. It matches the Rfam family "tRNA". From Rfam's summary of the family: Transfer RNA (tRNA) molecules are approximately 80 nucleotides in length. Their secondary structure includes four short double-helical elements and three loops (D, anti-codon, and T loops). The record is from RNAcentral.